This 252-nucleotide ribosomal RNA is filed under the name uncultured bacterium. RNAcentral describes it as "partial 16S ribosomal RNA". It matches the Rfam family "Bacterial small subunit ribosomal RNA", at positions 524 to 776 of the family's 1533-position model. The record is from RNAcentral.
UACGGAGGGGGCUAGCGUUGUUCGGAAUUACUGGGCGUAAAGCGCACGUAGGCGGCUUUGUAAGUUAGAGGUGAAAGCCCAGGCUUAACCCUGGAAUUGCCUUUAAGACUGCAUCGCUAGAAUCGUGGAGAGGUGAGUGGAAUUCCGAGUGUAGAGGUGAAAUUCGUAGAUAUUCGGAAGAACACCAGUGGCGAAGGCGACUCACUGGACACGUAUUGACGCUGAGGUGCGAAAGCGUGGGGAGCAAACAGG